CCCUUAGAUGUCCGGGGCUGCACGCGCGCUACACUGAAGGAAUCAGCGUGCUAAAACCAUUGUCGAAAGGCAUUGGUAAACCCAUUAAAAUCCUACGUGAUUGGGAUCGGGAAUUGCAAUUAUUUCCCUUGAACGAGGAAUUCCCAGUAAGUGUGGGUCAUAAGCUCGCGUUGAUUACGUCCCUGCCCUUUGUACACACCGCCCGUCGCUGCCCGGGACUGAGCCGUUUCGAGAAAAGCGGGGACUGCUGCUGUCGGGGCUUUCGGGCCUUGGCUUCGGUGGAAACCGCUUUAAUCGCAGUGGCUUGGACCGGGCAAAANUCGUAACA
This 328-nucleotide ribosomal RNA is filed under the name uncultured eukaryote. RNAcentral's name for it is "partial 18S ribosomal RNA". It matches the Rfam family "Eukaryotic small subunit ribosomal RNA", at positions 1470 to 1796 of the family's 1831-position model. The record is from RNAcentral.